CGACAGCAAUAUGAAGGUCAGGCUGAAGACCUUACCGGAUUAGCUGAGAGGUGGUGCAUGGCCGUCGUCAGUUCGUACUGUGAAGCAUCCUGUUAAGUCAGGCAACGAGCGAGACCCACGUCCACAGUUGCCAGCAUACCCUCCGGGGGUGAUGGGUACACUGUGGAGACCGCCGCUGCUAAAGCGGAGGAAGGAAUGGGCAACGGUAGGUCAGUAUGCCCCGAAUCUCCCGGGCUACACGCGGGCUACAAUGGUUGGUACAAUGGGCAUCUACCCCGAAAGGGGAAGGAAAUCUCUUAAAGCCAAUCGUAGUUCGGAUUGAGGGCUGCAACUCGCCCUCAUGAAGCUGGAAUCCGUAGUAAUCGCGUUUCAACAGAACGCGGUGAAUACGUUCCCGGGUCUU
RNAcentral lists this ribosomal RNA (403 nucleotides) under uncultured Methanosaeta sp. RNAcentral describes it as "bacterial SSU rRNA". It matches the Rfam family "Archaeal small subunit ribosomal RNA", at positions 937 to 1338 of the family's 1478-position model. Lineage: Archaea; Methanobacteriati; Methanobacteriota; Methanomicrobia; Methanotrichales; Methanotrichaceae. The record is from RNAcentral.